This is a long non-coding RNA of Xiphophorus couchianus (Monterrey platyfish), 605 nucleotides long. RefSeq lists it as uncharacterized. Lineage: Eukaryota; Metazoa; Chordata; Actinopteri; Cyprinodontiformes; Poeciliidae. The transcript is spliced from 4 exons. The record is from RefSeq and is a predicted model, not a curated record.
AUCCAGGGAGACAGAAAAGUUGAAAAAUAGUGAGGAAUCACAUCAGAGUGACACAAGGACAAUGGAUUACAGGAUCUGAGAGGAAAUAUUUACUCUAACAUGGAUUAUAACCGUGACACAGCAAAGGCUCCUGACUGGUGAUAUCUGGUUGCCUGAACUUCCUUUGUCUGGGCUGUGGCACCGUUCCACCUGAUACAACAUGCUCCACUGGCAGACACAUCAAAACCCAAAUGCUCUCUUGAGAAUGAACAAGAAUCAGUUUGAAGUUGAAGAUCAACGUCUAAAAACAUUACACUGUUUUAAGAGGAGUCACAGUGUUCCAGGGGAGAGAUUUCCAGGAAUGAUGGCCUCGUUGAGAUUGAUCUCCUCUACAUGAGAGGAGAUGAAAGAAGCUAACAGAGCUCACAUAUCUUCACUUGAUCUCUGUCUCUAAAUCAAUUUGAAGCUAUGUGUUUAUUCCUGUGUCUUGAGGAUGUUGAUGGAACGGUACACUCCAGCCUGAGCUCAGACAGAGUAGCUGUCACUGAAAGCACUAUAUGUGAAAUAUUGUAAAUUCUUUGAUAAAAUCUAUUUUUUUGUUCUAAUAACAAUUGGUGAUUUGUUUU